RNAcentral lists this ribosomal RNA (253 nucleotides) under uncultured bacterium. RNAcentral's name for it is "partial 16S ribosomal RNA". It matches the Rfam family "Bacterial small subunit ribosomal RNA", at positions 524 to 776 of the family's 1533-position model. The record is from RNAcentral.
GACGUGGGGGGCCAGCGUUGCUCGGAAUUACUGGGUGUAAAGGGUUCGUAGGCGGUGUAGCAAGUUGGGAGUGAAAUCUCUGGGCUCAACCCAGAGGCUGCUUCCAAAACUGCUGUGCUCGAGUGCGAGAGAGGCGAGUGGAAUUGCAGGUGUAGCGGUGAAAUGCGUAGAUAUCCGUAGGAACAUCCGAGGCGAAGGCGGCUCGCUGGAUCACAGCUGACGCUGAGGGACGAAAGCUAGGGGAGCAAACAGG